AGCAGCCGCGGUAAUUCCAGCUCCAAUAGCGUAUAUUAAAGUUGUUGCAGUUAAAAAGCUCGUAGUUGAAUUUCGGGGUCAGUAGAUUGGUCGUGCCACUGGUAUGUACUGGUCUCACUGGCUCCUCCUUCCUGAUGAACCGUAAUGCCAUUAAUUUGGUGUUGCGGGGAGACUGGACUGUUACUUUGAAAAAAUUAGAGUGUUUAAAGCAGGCUAACGCUUGAAUACAUUAGCAUGGAAUAAUGAAAUAGGACGUUCGAUCUUACUUUGUUUGGUCGUUUCUAAGGAUUUGACGUAAUGAUUAAUAGGGAUAGUUGGGGGCAUUAGUAUUCAAUUGUCAGAGGUGAAAUUCUUGGAUUUAUUGAAGACUAACUACUGCGAAAGCAUUUGCCAAGGAUGUUUUCAUUAAUCAAGAACGAAAGUUAGGGGAUCGAAGACGAUCAGAUACCGUCGUAGUCUUAACCAUAAACUAUGCCGACUAGGGAUCGGAUGAUGUUAAUUUUUUAAUGA
RNAcentral lists this ribosomal RNA (510 nucleotides) under uncultured Glomus. Its description in RNAcentral is "SSU rRNA". It matches the Rfam family "Eukaryotic small subunit ribosomal RNA", at positions 569 to 1077 of the family's 1831-position model. The record is from RNAcentral. Lineage: Eukaryota; Fungi; Glomeromycota; Glomeromycetes; Glomerales; Glomeraceae.